UAGUGCUGUGCUUGCUUCAUCAUUCACUCUUUCCCUCUGAGCAGUGAAGAAAGAGCCUAUUGUGUAUUUCUACUUUUAUUUGACAAUAACAAACUGUAUAUAAAAAGGAAGAGGGCAGGCAGGGAGGCCCUGGAUCUCCCCAUCUCUGCUUCUCAAAUAUCUCCCAAUCCUAGGCCCCAACAAGGACCACCCUUUCCUGCCUGGUGGUAAGGUGGGGAUUGACAGGCAUGGAUAGUGUGUGUGUAUGCGCACUUGUGUGUA
This is a long non-coding RNA of Perognathus longimembris pacificus (Pacific pocket mouse), 261 nucleotides long. RefSeq lists it as uncharacterized. The transcript is spliced from 3 exons. Lineage: Eukaryota; Metazoa; Chordata; Mammalia; Rodentia; Heteromyidae. The record is from RefSeq and is a predicted model, not a curated record.